This 792-nucleotide ribosomal RNA is filed under the name Staphylococcus aureus. Its description in RNAcentral is "bacterial SSU rRNA". It matches the Rfam family "Bacterial small subunit ribosomal RNA", at positions 1 to 775 of the family's 1533-position model. Lineage: Bacteria; Bacillati; Bacillota; Bacilli; Caryophanales; Staphylococcaceae. The record is from RNAcentral.
UUUAUGGAGAGUUUGAUCCUGGCUCAGGAUGAACGCUGGCGGCGUGCCUAAUACAUGCAAGUCGAGCGAACGGACGAGAAGCUUGCUUCUCUGAUGUUAGCGGCGGACGGGUGAGUAACACGUGGAUAACCUACCUAUAAGACUGGGAUAACUUCGGGAAACCGGAGCUAAUACCGGAUAAUAUUUUGAACCGCAUGGUUCAAAAGUGAAAGACGGUCUUGCUGUCACUUAUAGAUGGAUCCGCGCUGCAUUAGCUAGUUGGUAAGGUAACGGCUUACCAAGGCAACGAUGCAUAGCCGACCUGAGAGGGUGAUCGGCCACACUGGAACUGAGACACGGUCCAGACUCCUACGGGAGGCAGCAGUAGGGAAUCUUCCGCAAUGGGCGAAAGCCUGACGGAGCAACGCCGCGUGAGUGAUGAAGGUCUUCGGAUCGUAAAACUCUGUUAUUAGGGAAGAACAUAUGUGUAAGUAACUGUGCACAUCUUGACGGUACCUAAUCAGAAAGCCACGGCUAACUACGUGCCAGCAGCCGCGGUAAUACGUAGGUGGCAAGCGUUAUCCGGAAUUAUUGGGCGUAAAGCGCGCGUAGGCGGUUUUUUAAGUCUGAUGUGAAAGCCCACGGCUCAACCGUGGAGGGUCAUUGGAAACUGGAAAACUUGAGUGCAGAAGAGGAAAGUGGAAUUCCAUGUGUAGCGGUGAAAUGCGCAGAGAUAUGGAGGAACACCAGUGGCGAAGGCGACUUUCUGGUCUGUAACUGACGCUGAUGUGCGAAAGCGUGGGGAUCAAACAG